Molecule: ribosomal RNA, 348 nt
Filed under: Triticum aestivum (bread wheat)
Lineage: Eukaryota; Viridiplantae; Streptophyta; Magnoliopsida; Poales; Poaceae
Description: partial small subunit ribosomal RNA
Source: RNAcentral
AUGAUGGAUGAGCAGCGGCAGGUUUAUCUUUUGGCAGAUGCACACACCCUCAACCUGGAAGCGGAAGGUGUGAUUUGGGUGAUGAGAUGCUGUUUAUGUAUGUAUUUAUGUUAUUAUGUGCCUCCAUUCAUUCUCACAUCUCUGCUCUGCUUGGACUCUGCAAAUGUAUGUAUAAUGUGCAUAAUGAUGUGUAAUCUACUACUCUCUCCGUCCCAUAAUGUAAGAUGUUUUUGUGACACUAGUCUAAUGUCACAAAAACAUCUUACAUUAUGGCACAGGGGAGUACUUAAAAUCAACACAUCACAUGAUAGUAACACAGUGGCAAACAUACACCCACGGGUCGGGUAG